RNAcentral lists this ribosomal RNA (468 nucleotides) under uncultured bacterium. Its description in RNAcentral is "partial 16S ribosomal RNA". It matches the Rfam family "Bacterial small subunit ribosomal RNA", at positions 28 to 507 of the family's 1533-position model. The record is from RNAcentral.
GACGAACGCUGGCGGCGUGCUUAACACAUGCAAGUCGAACGGAAAGGCCCUGCUUUUGUGGGGUGCUCGAGUGGCGAACGGGUGAGUAACACGUGAGUAACCUGCCCUUGACUUUGGGAUAACUUCAGGAAACUGGGGCUAAUACCGGAUAGGAGCUCCUGCUGCAUGGUGGGGGUUAGAAAGUUUCGGCGGUUGGGGAUGGACUCGCGGCUUAUCAGCUUGUUGGUGGGGUAGUGGCUUACCAAGGCUUUGACGGGUAGCCGGCCUGAGAGGGUGACCGGCCACAUUGGGACUGAGAGACGGCCCAGACGCGUACGGGAGGCAGAAGUGGGGAAUAUUGCACAAUGGGCGGAAGCCUGAUGCAGCAACGCCGCGUGCGGGAUGACGGCCUUCGGGUUGUAAACCGCUUUCGCCUGUGACGAAGCGUGAGUGACGGUAAUGGGUAAAGAAGCACCGGCUAACUACGUG